UGGACAUCAAGUUGUUAUUAAGUUCUGUUUUUCCUGAGAAUUUCAUUUUUUUUUGCACUUUAAGUUGCUAUUAAGUUUCUCAAGCUCUUUGUUUUCCCUGAGCAUUUCAUUGUUUUUGCACUUUAAAUUGUUAUUAAUUUCCUCGAGCUCUGUGUUUUCCCUGAGCAUUUUCUUGUUUUUGUAUUUUAAGUUGUUAUUAAUUUCCUCGAGCUCUGUGUUUUCCUUGAGCAUUUUCUUCUUUUUGUAUUUUAAGUUGUUAUUAAUUUCCUCGAGCUCUGUGUUUUCCUUGAGCAUUUUCUUGUUUUUGUAUUUUAAGUUGUUAUGAAGUUCCUCAAGCUCUGUGCUCUUUUUUAGGAUUUCACUGUAUUUGUAGUUUAAGUUCUUAUUCUGUCCCUCGAGCUCUGUGUUCUUUCUCAGGAUUUCAUCAAUUUUGUAUUUUAAGAUGUUACAAAGUUCCACAAGCUCUGAGUUCUUGCUUAGCAUUUCAUUGCAAAUGUGCUGCGCGCCUGAGUGUUGUUUUAUCAGUUUUUCCCUUUCUCCUUCUAGUUCCAUGAUUUUCUCCUUCAUUUCAUUAGAACAUGCGUGUAGCUGUAGAUUUUUCCUUUCUAAGUCUUGGAGAAUAACUUGUGUCUUUUUCUGCAUUUUUUCCUGUUGCUGUUUCUCUUGAAGAAACUCUUUGUUUUUCUCCAGGGCUUCAUCAAGUUUUAGGUGAAGCUGCAGAUUCUUGUUCUCAGUGUCUUUGAGAUUCCCAUAGAGCUCCUGAUUAAUAGCUUCUGUUUGUUGAAGCUGGUAGGACAUUUUUCUUAACUGGUCGCAGUUCUGCUUGUUUGUUGUCAUCAGGCUUGCAAUAUGCUGCGGAUCUUCAAUAAAGAUUAUUUCCCAGCCCUUAUUUACACUGGGCAGGUUUUGUGUAUUUUUAUUUUCUUCGUCUUGCUGGUUUAUGAGACUUUCAUCGUGAAACAUUUCUGCAUUUCUGUGCAGUGCUUCGUUAAGCUUUACUUGCAAGACUUUGUUUUGUUUCUUCAUGGUCUGAAGUUUACAUUCCAUUUUUUUCUCCUUUCUUUCCUGUUGUUUCUUCUCUUGAAGCAACUCUUUGUUUUUUUCCUGGGCUUCAUCAAGUUUUCCUUCCAUCUCCAGGUUCUUAAACUCAGUGUCUUCCAGUUUCCCACAGAGCUCCUGAUUAAUAUCUUCUUUUUCUUCGAGCAGGUGGGACAUUUGUCUUAAUUCAGCACAGUUGUGUUUGUUUUCUGUCAUCAAGUUUAAAAUCUUCUCCUGUGCUCGAUUAAAUAGUAUUUUCCAGCCCUCAUUUAUAUUAUCCACAUUGGGCUGCCUUCGAUUAUUUUCUUUUUCUCGUUGGUUCUUGACAAAUUCAUUAUGCCUUUCUUCCAACUGGUUAUUUAGGGCCUCCAUGUGUCUGCACUUCUCUACAAGCUGAAUUUUCUCUGCC
Astatotilapia calliptera (eastern happy) is the source of this 1447-nucleotide long non-coding RNA. The record is from Ensembl. Lineage: Eukaryota; Metazoa; Chordata; Actinopteri; Cichliformes; Cichlidae.